UGGGGAAUAUUGGACAAUGGGGGAAACCCUGAUCCAGCGACGCCGCAUGUGUGAAGAAGGCCUGCGGGUUGUAAAGCACUUUCGGUGGGAACGAAAUAUGCCGGGCUAAUACCCCGGUAGGCUGACGUUACUCAAUGAAGAAGCACCGGCUAACUCUGUGCCAGCAGCCGCGGUAAUACAGAGGGUGCGAGCGUUAAUCGGAAUUACUGGGCGUAAAGCGUGCGCAGGCGGUUGUGUAAGUCAGAUGUGAAAUCCCCGGGCUCAACCUGGGAAUUGCAUUUGAGACUGCACGGCUAGAGUGUGUCAGAGGGGGGUAGAAUUCCACGUGUAGCAGUGAAAUGCGUAGAUAUGUGGAGGAAUACCGAUGGCGAAGGCAGCCCCCUGGGAUAACACUGACGCUCAUGCACGAAAGCGUGGGGAGCAAACAGGAUUAGAUACCCCCGUAGUCCCUGAGCGGGCUGGCAAGGCGCAU
RNAcentral lists this ribosomal RNA (472 nucleotides) under uncultured bacterium. Its description in RNAcentral is "bacterial SSU rRNA". It matches the Rfam family "Bacterial small subunit ribosomal RNA", at positions 355 to 825 of the family's 1533-position model. The record is from RNAcentral.